AGAAUUAGUAAAGUUUGACUACAUUUAUUUCAGAAGCAUUUUGGCUGUAGAGCAGUGAUUUGCUAUUGACAGGGCAUGGAAAUUUCUUACCUAUUUUGGCCCUCCGUGCCUUCCGUUCUGCUGCUAACGAAGCAUCCCCCAGGGCUCCCUCUGCCUGUGCGACUGGCCAGCAGGGGGCGGUGAUAACUUUUGAUCUACUUAUCAGACACUGUGAGGUAACACUGUUGCUGGGUGGGUGGAGGAGUGUGUGUGUGUGGAGAUUGGAGCUGAAGGGGCAUUGUGGUAGGCGGAGGCCUCUGGGUGGCUGGGCAGGGGGUACCCUUGUCAGGUUGGUGGAUUCUGGAGGUUUGGGGUUUUGAGGGGUGGUUCUGAUGUGCCCAGCCCUGAGGCUAUGGGUCCUGGAGGUGGGUCUGAUGUGCCCAGCUGAGGGUCUGUUGGCUGGGGAACAGCGGGGGUGGGUGUCUCUUGGAGAGGGGGGGCGUGGGGUUAGAGAGUGCCUGGUGCUGUCCCACGGGCUCUCUGUCUGGGAUUCCUCCGCAGACUCCUGGGAUCGUUGCCAUACCCAGUGCACAGAGCUGUGGAGGGGCAUCCCUGACACUAGGUCAGGGGAUGCUGGGCAAGCAGAGUGAGGGGUCCCACGGAAAAGUAUCAGGGGGUGCCGCUAGGUGGAGGAGGGAGUCCCAGGCAAACGGCAGGGCAGAUCCUGGUGGAGGGCAAGCAGGGGUCCUAGGCAGGCAGUGGGGGAACCCCAGGCAGGCAGUGAGAGUUCCCAGUGGGGGCUCCAUGGCUGCUGGGGGCUCUUGGUGGGGGGAACCCUUUGGGAUUCCCAGGCUGGCAGUGAAGGUCUGGCUGGUGGGGCUCUGAGGGGUAUUUGGGGUCCCUGGCCAGGGAGUCUGGGGGCUGGGUCCCAGGGAAUAUCUGGUGGGACCCUGGCUCGGCGGUCUGGGUUCUGGGGGACCUUGGCUGGGGGCUCUGGGGGCUGCUACUAACCAUGCUUCUUCUCCCUGAUUGGCUUGUGCCAGAAUCCUGGCUCCAAGCACUGCCCGACAUUCCCCGGCCACACCCAGUCACUGUGAUAACUUUCUAUCUACUUAUCAAACACUGUGAGGUGAAAUCACACAUUUUGCUUUUCUCCCCUCUUGAAAACUGCAAGAACUUCCGGUUCCAUUAGGAAAUUUCCUGUCCCCCAGUCCUUGUCCUAGAUCUGGGGGGUGGGGGGUGUGAAGGGGGUUAGCACUGCCACACAAUGGUCUCUUCCACAGCAUUCUGGACUCGUUCUUUCUGAAAUCUGGUUUCAUUGAGAACAUUGUUAAUCCAGAGUCACUGCAUGGAAACACUAGGAGUGACUCCAGAUGGACAGUGGGGCAAAUGAGAUUAGCAAUUCUCCCUGUGAGGAGGGGCUCUCAUUAGCUGCUCUCUCCAGAGAGCUAAAGGAGGGAAGCUGCUCAAACGCUCUGUUCCUCUGUGCUCAGGGUAUUGGGGUUCAGCUUCCUGGGUCAGACGCUGCAGCCUCCAUUGUGAUCUGGGAGACCAGGCUUGGCAACUGCAGCUCCCCCAGCGGGGGGUCUGUGCUGGGAAGUGACCUUAAUUAAAGCUUCUUCUCUGCCUGGCCCAGGUGAUGACUUUCUCCAGCUGGUACUAGCCCCCUGAGGCACCCCUGGGCCCUGUUAAUACUAAAUUCUGAGCCAGAGACUCCAGGCUGCAGAAUGACGUCCAUGUUUUGCUCCAGUUCAUCCUGUCCUCCCAUGGGACAGGGGAGAGAAAUGGCUGCAGAGGAGCCAGCUCAGGGGCCGGUGACUUUCGAGGAGGUGGCUGUGUAUUUCACCAGGGAAGAGUGGGCUCUGCUGGACCCCACUCAGAGAGCUCUCUACAGAGACGUCUUGCAGGAGAACUAUGAGAAUGUGACCUCGCUGGGUAAGGGUUACUGUCUCCUCGGUUCUUGGAAGGGGAAAUGAAGAGAUAAGGUUCACACCAGCCCACAAUGCCACCUCUACUCUGUCCUGUUUCAGCUUCACCCCAAUAUGCCAGUGACACACACACUACCCAAAGUGUUCUGCAGCAGGGGAGGGUCUCUGGAACAGAGCACAGGAGCAGUAUCGCACAGUGUCAAAUAUCUCCGGUUUGCUCAAGUAAAACUGGGGCUUAGGUCCAGCAUAACGAAUAGAAGCUUCCUACCCGUGCCCUUCUCCACCCAGACCAGAAUGUGCUUUGGGUGUAACAAGCAGGCUGCUGGAGUCAGAGCUGCUGGUCCAGGGUUACUUAUCACACAGACACUCCAUGCAUCCUUGAAUGCUGGCUGGGAGUAUCCAGACAAGGGAGCUCCAUAAGGGAGGUAUAGCUCAGUGGUUUGAGCAUUGGCCUGCUAAACCCAGGGUUGUGAGUUCAAUCCUUGAGGGGGCCAUUUAGGGAUCUGGGGCAAAAAUCUGUCUGAGGUUUGGUUCUGCAUUGAGCAGGGGGUUGGACUAGAUGACCUCCUGAGGUCCCUUCCAACCCUGAUAUUCUAUGAUAAGCAGAACAUUGAAUCUCACACAGCAUUACAGAUGACACAACUCCUCACUCAUCUGGAUUGCACCCCAGCAUGUGAAAAUGGUUGAGGUUGGUAGUGAAAAUUCUUGAGACAUGGAGAGUCUUGCUCCCCUAUCACCAUAUGUAAUAGCCAUAAUCCCUCUUCUCUUCAGGCUCCUUGGAUUUUUGAGUCCCUCAUUCCCAAACUCACAUGACUCCGAUUCUUCUUUUUCACAAUCUGCUUUUCCAGACUAAUUAGAGUCUGUUACUCCUGAAUUAUAGCUUCUAAUUUCCCAGUGUUCUCCACAGCCAGGGAUUUUCCUACUCCCUCCCAUUACACUGGACUCACUAGAUUCCCUAGUAUAUAAGAACGGCCACACUGGGUCAGCGCAUAGGUCCAUCUAGACCAGUAUCCUGUCUUUCAAGAGUGACCAAUGCCAGGUGUCCCAGAGAGAAUGAACAGAACAGGUAAUCAUCAAGUGAGUCAUCUCCUGUUGCCCAUUCACAGUUUAUGGCAAAUAGAGUUUAGGGACACCAUCCCUACCCAUCCUGGCUAAUAGCCAUUGAUGGGCAUGAAUUUAUCAUGUUAUUUUUUUUUAAC
Non-coding RNA from Chrysemys picta bellii (western painted turtle), 3106 nucleotides. NCBI's taxonomy places the organism in Eukaryota, Metazoa, Chordata, Testudines, Emydidae. The record is from RefSeq and is a predicted model, not a curated record.